AUUGAACGCUGGCGGCGUGCCUAACACAUGCAAGUCGGAUGUGCCCGCAAGGGCGCAUGGCAGACGGGUGAGUAACGCGUGGGGAAUCUACCUCUUUGUGGGGAAUAACGCUCCGAAAGGAGUGGUAAUACCGCAUGAGACCAAUGGCUGGAAUGUUGUUGGUGAAACCUGGGGACCGCAAGGCCUGGGGCAAGGAGAGGAUCCUGCGUCUGAUUAGCUAGUUGGCGGGGUAAUGGCCCACCAAGGCGACGAUCAGUAGCCGGCCUGAGAGGGUGAUCGGCCACACUGGAACUGAGACACGGCCCAGACUCCUACGGGAGGCAGCAGUGGGGAAUAUUGGACAAUGGGGGCGAACCCUGAUCCAGCGACGCCGCGUGUGUGAAGAAGGCCUGCGGGUUGUAAAGCACUUUUAGUUGGGGAGGAAGGUCUGCGACCUAACACGUCGUGGAAUUGACUUAACCCACCAGAAAAGACACCGGCUAACUCUGUGCCAGCAG
This 497-nucleotide ribosomal RNA is filed under the name uncultured bacterium. RNAcentral's name for it is "bacterial SSU rRNA". It matches the Rfam family "Bacterial small subunit ribosomal RNA", at positions 29 to 514 of the family's 1533-position model. The record is from RNAcentral.